UGAANUUAAAGGCUGUGGCUUAACCAUAGUACGCUUUGGAAACUGUUUAACUNGAGUGCAGAAGGGGAGAGUGGAAUUCCAUGUGUAGCGGUGAAAUGCGUAGAUAUAUGGAGGAACACCGGUGGCGAAAGCGGCUCUCUGGUCUGUAACUGACGCUGAGGCUCGAAAGCGUGGGGAGCGAACAGGAUUAGAUACCCUGGUAGUCCACGCCGUAAACGAUGAGUGCUAGGUGUUAGGCCCUUUCCGGGGCUUAGUGCCGCAGCUAACGCAUUAAGCACUCCGCCUGGGGAGUACGACCGCAAGGUUGAAACUCAAAGGAAUUGACGGGGGCCCGCACAAGCGGUGGAGCAUGUGGUUUAAUUCGAAGCAACGCGAAGAACCUUACCAGGUCUUGACAUCCCGAUGCCCGCUCUAGAGAUAGAGUUUUACUUCGGUACAUCGGUGACAGGUGGUGCAUGGUUGUCGUCAGCUCGUGUCGUGAGAUGUUGGGUUAAGUCCCGCAACGAGCGCAACCCUUAUUGUUAGUUGCCAUCAUUCAGUUGGGCACUCUAGCGAGACUGCCGGUAAUAAACCGGAGGAAGGUGGGGAUGACGUCAAAUCAUCAUGCCCCUUAUGACCUGGGCUACACACGUGCUACAAUGGCUGGUACAACGAGUCGCAAGUCGGUGACGGCAAGCUAAUCUCUUAAAGCCAGUCUCAGUUCGGAUUGUAGGCUGCAACUCGCCUGCAUGAAGUCGGAAUCGCUAGUAAUCGCGGAUCAGCUCGCCGCGGUGAAUACGUUCCCGGGCCUUGUACAC
Molecule: ribosomal RNA, 797 nt
Filed under: uncultured bacterium
Lineage: Bacteria
Description: bacterial SSU rRNA
Rfam family: Bacterial small subunit ribosomal RNA
Source: RNAcentral